CUUGUCACCUGGUCGGUGCUCUGGGUCUGGUCAGAGUGGAGUGAAUUUUAAAACUGGAAGGCAGCCCUUGUCUCUUGUCACAAAUGAUAAAUCAUCAGUUGGAGUCCAUAAGAUCUGGAUACACCAUAACCUUUCUGGUUAAGGAAAAUGCCUACCUGCCAGAGCAACAGGAAGAAGAGAUGAGGCCCCAAUACAGCGAGCCCAGAACAGCCUGGAAGGCCCAGGAAGUGUGGUCUAGAUGAGCCUCCGUCAUAACACUACAUAAAGGCCCUACCAUGUCCCCAUCUUACCAAUGAGGAAUCACAGGCACAGAAUGAGAAACAGCAGAGACUCGGCUUUGAACUCAUGUCCAUCUGCCCAGACACUUUGGCCUUCCCCCUCCCCAUCCCGUGGAGGCUCUCCUGAAGGGCUCCUAUGCCCCCUAGUACCUGCCCUCAAAUAAAAAUAAAACAGGAAUCA
This 459-nucleotide long non-coding RNA is filed under the name Mus musculus (house mouse). RNAcentral's name for it is "predicted gene, 50339". The record is from RNAcentral. Lineage: Eukaryota; Metazoa; Chordata; Mammalia; Rodentia; Muridae.